UACGGGGGGAGCAAGCGUUGUCCGGAAUUAUUGGGCGUAAAGCGCGUGUAGGCGGCUCGGUAAGUCUGCUGUGAAAGUCCAGGGCUCAACCCUGGAAUGCCGGUGGAUACUGUCGAGCUCGAGUCCGGAAGAGGCGAGUGGAAUUCCUGGUGUAGCGGUGAAAUGCGCAGAUAUCAGGAGGAACACCAAUGGCGAAGGCAGCUCGCUGGGACGGUACUGACGCUGAGACGCGAAAGCGUGGGGAGCAAACAG
Molecule: ribosomal RNA, 252 nt
Filed under: uncultured prokaryote
Description: partial 16S ribosomal RNA
Rfam family: Bacterial small subunit ribosomal RNA
Source: RNAcentral